This 505-nucleotide ribosomal RNA is filed under the name uncultured bacterium. Its description in RNAcentral is "bacterial SSU rRNA". It matches the Rfam family "Bacterial small subunit ribosomal RNA", at positions 31 to 518 of the family's 1533-position model. The record is from RNAcentral.
GAACGCUGGCGGCGUGCCUAACACAUGCAGGUCGAACGAAGCAUCGCGCCCGGGAAAGUGGAGUGCUUGCACAAAGCGGACCCAAUUGUGAUGACUUAGUGGCGGACGGGUGAGUAACGCGUGGGUAACCUGCCGUAUGCAGGGGGAUAACAGUUAGAAAUGACUGCUAAUACCGCAUAAGCGCACAGCUUCGCAUGGAGCAGUGUGAAAAGCUAUUUACGGCAUACGAUGGACCCGCGUCUGAUUAGCCAGUUGGCAGGGUAACGGCCUACCAAAGCAACGAUCAGUAGCCGGCCUGAGAGGGUGAACGGCCACAUUGGGACUGAGACACGGCCCAAACUCCUACGGGAGGCAGCAGUGGGGGAUAUUGCACAAUGGGGGAAACCCUGAUGCAGCCGACGCCGCGUGAGUGAAGAAGUAUUUCGGUAUGUAAAGCUCUAUCAGCAGGGAAGAAAAUGACGGUACCUGACUAAGAAGCUCCGGCUAAAUACGUGCCAGCAGCAGC